RNAcentral lists this non-coding RNA (29 nucleotides) under Mus musculus (house mouse). The record is from RNAcentral. Lineage: Eukaryota; Metazoa; Chordata; Mammalia; Rodentia; Muridae.
UNGAUAUCAGUGUUUGCUUUCCUUAGUCU